UGGGGAAUAUUGCACAAUGGGCGAAAGCCUGAUGCAGCGACGCCGCGUGAGGGAUGACGGCCUUCGGGUUGUAAACCUCUUUCGACCUUGACGAAGCCUUCUUUGGUGGGGGUGACGGUAGGGGGAGAAGAAGCGCCGGCCAACUACGUGCCAGCAGCCGCGGUAAGACGUAGGGCGCGAGCGUUGUCCGGAUUUAUUGGGCGUAAAGAGCUCGUAGGCGGCUUGUUGCGUCGACCGUGAAAACCUGCGGCUUAACUGUGGGCGGGCGGUUGAUACGGGCAGGCUGGAGUUCGGUAGGGGAGACUGGAAUUCCUGGUGUAGCGGUGAAAUGCGCAGAUAUCAGGAGGAACACCGGUGGCGAAGGCGGGUCUCUGGGCCGAUACUGACGCUGAGGAGCGAAAGCGUGGGGAGCGAACAG
RNAcentral lists this ribosomal RNA (418 nucleotides) under uncultured bacterium. Its description in RNAcentral is "bacterial SSU rRNA". It matches the Rfam family "Bacterial small subunit ribosomal RNA", at positions 355 to 775 of the family's 1533-position model. The record is from RNAcentral.